AUAUCUCAACCACAUCCUUUGGGCAUGGUGGCUUGGACUUGGAGGGAAUGUGCAGGCUUAAAAGAAAAGUCUGCUCCUCUGAAAAAUAUGAGCGGUACCUACAUUGGAACUCUGGCUAGGUGUGAUACAUAUCUGCAUCUAAUCAAAGGGUUACCCUAUUUUGGUUAUGCUGCUGAUCAUUACAAACUUUUGAUAA
This 196-nucleotide unclassified non-coding RNA is filed under the name uncultured Inocybaceae. RNAcentral's name for it is "sequence contains ITS2". The record is from RNAcentral. Lineage: Eukaryota; Fungi; Basidiomycota; Agaricomycetes; Agaricales.